Molecule: non-coding RNA, 249 nt
Filed under: Catenulispora acidiphila DSM 44928
Lineage: Bacteria; Bacillati; Actinomycetota; Actinomycetes; Catenulisporales; Catenulisporaceae
Source: RNAcentral
AUGGUGUCCGACGCAGCUGGUUCGGCUGCCGCCUCUCGCAGGGCGGCGGCCGAGGCAAGAGGGAACCCGGUGGGAAUCCGGGACUGCCCCGCAGCGGUGAGUGGGAACGACCGCCGUCGUGCACACUGGGCCGACACGGCGCCUUCGGGCGCCGGCCUGGGAAGUGACGGCCAGUAGGUUCGCGGUGCCCUGACACGGCUCCGCCGAGCGCCCACGAGUCCGAAGACCUGCCAGCCGUGCCGUGCCCGG